UACGGGGGGGGCAAGCGUUGUUCGGAAUUACUGGGCGUAAAGGGCUCGUAGGCGGCCAACUAAGUCAGACGUGAAAGCCCACGGCUCAACCGUGGAAGCGCAUCCGAAACGGCCUCGCUCGAGUCUCGGAGAGGAAGGUGGAAUGCUUGGUGUAGAGGUGAAAUUCGUAGAUAUCAAGCAGAACACCUGCGGCGAAGGCGGCCUUCUGGACGAUGACUGACGCUGAGACGCGAAAGCGUGGGGAGCAAACAGG
RNAcentral lists this ribosomal RNA (253 nucleotides) under uncultured bacterium. RNAcentral describes it as "partial 16S ribosomal RNA". It matches the Rfam family "Bacterial small subunit ribosomal RNA", at positions 524 to 776 of the family's 1533-position model. The record is from RNAcentral.